CCAAAGGCUCUUUUCAGAGCCACCCCCAACCUCAUUAGGAAGUGCU
This is a non-coding RNA of Rattus norvegicus (Norway rat), 46 nucleotides long. The record is from Rfam. Lineage: Eukaryota; Metazoa; Chordata; Mammalia; Rodentia; Muridae.